This 459-nucleotide ribosomal RNA is filed under the name uncultured bacterium. RNAcentral's name for it is "partial 16S ribosomal RNA". It matches the Rfam family "Bacterial small subunit ribosomal RNA", at positions 338 to 795 of the family's 1533-position model. The record is from RNAcentral.
CCUACGGGAGGCAGCAGUGAGGAAUAUUGGUCAAUGGCCGGAAGGCUGAACCAGCCAAGCCGCGUGAAGGACGAAGGUGCCAAGCAUUGUAAACUUCUUUUGUCAGGGGACAAAAUCAGGCUCGAGAGCCUGACCGAGGGGACUUGAAGAAAAAGCAUCGGUUAAAUCCUGGCCAGCAGCCGCGGUAAUACGGAGGAUUCGAGGGUUAUCCGGAUUUAUUGGGGUUAAAGGGUUCGUAGGCGGGCUUUUAAGUCAGCGGUAAAAACCCGGGGCUCAACCCCGGCCAGCCGUUGAAACUGGGUGUCGUGAGAUGUCGAGAGGUAUGCGGAAUGCGCAGUGUAGCGGUGAAAUGCUUAGAUAUUGCGCAGAACUCCGAUUGCGAAGGCAGCAUUCCGGCGGCGAUCUGACGCUGAGGCACGAAAGCGUGGGUAUCGAACAGGAUUAGAUACCCCAGUAGUC